Molecule: transfer RNA, 85 nt
Filed under: Candidatus Agathobaculum merdavium
Lineage: Bacteria; Bacillati; Bacillota; Clostridia; Eubacteriales; Butyricicoccaceae
Description: tRNA-Leu
Rfam family: tRNA
About the family: Transfer RNA (tRNA) molecules are approximately 80 nucleotides in length. Their secondary structure includes four short double-helical elements and three loops (D, anti-codon, and T loops).
Source: RNAcentral
GCGGAUAUGGCGGAAUUGGCAGACGCGCAGGAUUUAGGUUCCUGUGGAGAAAUCCGUGUGGGUUCGACCCCCACUAUCCGCACCA